AAAAAAAGAAAGAAAAGAAAAGAAAAGAAAAAAAGAAAAACAUAAACUGCUCUGCCUCCUCCCCAACUGGCCGCCACUGAACGAUGAGCAGCUAGCACCACAGUGGUUUAGCACCCAUGAAUGAAGACUCACCAGUGCACUCCACAAGGCGAACCUGGAGUUCAGAGAGGCUAAGUUAGUGGUGACGGCCACACAGCCAAUGAGAGCAGAGCGGGAGGAGAGCCCAGGGCCCUCCCAGGCCAUUCCAAACUCCAUCUCCUGGACAGACACCACCUGCUGUUUGCCAUCUUCCCCGGACUAUGAGUUUUUUGAGAGAUGAAUCCUGCAAUAUGUAUCUUUCUUUGCCCAGGCCUGGCCCAGCAUCCAGACUUUUUGAAGCCCCCUGGCAUAAAGUAGGUUGAGCUGAGCUCACUGGUUCCAUCGCUAGCUCUUUACUCAUCUGGCAAAGAGAAGAAGCAGCAGACCACGGGUGGAAAUACAGACACGCCCACCCUCCCGUCAACAGCACGAGGUGUACACAGCGAUGUACGUGUGAACCCACCCGCACCGAGGCCCAGAGAUCUGCACAGAAGAGUGAGAUGAACUCUGUCUCUGCAAUCGCAAGUACGCAGAAGUGCCGACGGCCCAACCAGGGUUGGUGGCUGGGGUCAGAAGUAACCUCCAAGCAGCAGGCUGGCUGCACAGUGAGAUUCUGAUGGCAGCAGGGCUGGCGUUGAAGAUGACCCCUGCAUGUCCUCUCCUGAGAGGGGAGAACCAUCACCCUGUUUUACACAGGGGGCAGCUGAGGCACAUCAUGCUUAUAAUUUGCCACGGCAAGCACAGCACAAGAUUCAAACCCAGUCUGAGUAAUGCCAGCCUCCGGGCUGCUUUCUCUAUGUCUCUGACUCUCGGGCAUAUUUGGCUUCCGUCUCCCCAUUCAUCAGUCCACAGAAUGGAGCCUCCUGCCCACUCCCCUGAGCUGACCUUCAGUCCUCUGUAGCUGGGUGGGACUGCAGAGGUGGAGGCUCUCACGUCCCUCACCACCACUUAGGUAGGGAGGCAGGCUGGGGAUGCAGCAGGGCUCCUGUCUCGGGCCUGGCUCUCUGCAGUCCCACUUCUCCGGUUGUGAGGAUGGAUGUCAGACUUCAAAGGCAGCAGCGCACUGUCUCACCAGACCCCGGCCCAUGAGAAAGUGCCUAAGUCCCAGAACAAAGGCCGUUCCAGACUCACAUCACCUGCUGGGCACUUAGCACGGGGCUUAAUUAAAGGAAACAGAGCUUGUGCGAGGGAGAGCGAGGAGUGAGUGAGAAAGUCGAUAACACUAAAGCCGCCGCCAUUAAUAGAGCCAGACUCGCUGCUAAUAUCCCACUCGAAUUCAAAACAGGACAAGUAAUUGGAAAUCUGAGCAGUUGGGGCGGUGGGGCUGGUGGGGCAGAUGACAGAGACCUGGCAGCUGUGGGAGACCUUCUGAAUGGGGUGAGGUGGCAGGCACAAAAGCUCCUGGCCUAGCCCGUCCUGGAGGACAGGGCCUUCCCCUGGGCAGAGGGCCACAGGCUGAGACUGAAGUACGUCAGCCACUGUUCUCAGUUCUUUACAAACACUAAUUCAAUUUAACCCCAAAAAAUCUCUUAGAGCUAGCUGCAGCCUGGUGGUUAAGGUGGCUGGAUCCCACUUGACGGUGCAGUUCGAGUCCUAAA
Tupaia belangeri chinensis (Chinese tree shrew) is the source of this 1676-nucleotide long non-coding RNA. RefSeq lists it as uncharacterized. The record is from RefSeq and is a predicted model, not a curated record. The transcript is spliced from 3 exons. Lineage: Eukaryota; Metazoa; Chordata; Mammalia; Scandentia; Tupaiidae.